AGAUGUGAGGGCGAUCUGGCUGUGACAUCUUACUGAUCAGCAGGGUUGAUCAGGCUGAUCUGGCUGGCCAGGCGGGUGUCCCUUUCCUCCCUCACCACUCCAUGUGCGUCCCUCCUGAAGCUGUGUGCUCGGUCGAAGAGGACGGCCUUCCCUGAAUAGAGACGGACCGGUCUUCGGUCGAGGUUAUACAAGUAGCUGUGCUCCCAGGCUAGAACCUCCAAACAAGCUGUCAGAAUCAAAAUACAACCAUAAAAGCACUAGAGGAAAACAUGGACAAACCCAUAACCUCAUAGUGG
RNAcentral lists this small nuclear RNA (296 nucleotides) under Erinaceus europaeus (western European hedgehog). RNAcentral's name for it is "7SK RNA". It matches the Rfam family "7SK RNA". From Rfam's summary of the family: 7SK was discovered as an abundant small nuclear RNA in the mid-70s but a possible function has only recently been suggested. Two independent studies have found that 7SK RNA binds the CDK9/cyclin T complex (known as elongation factor P-TEFb). The record is from Rfam by way of RNAcentral. Lineage: Eukaryota; Metazoa; Chordata; Mammalia; Eulipotyphla; Erinaceidae.